GGGGCGUGAGGCGGCGUGAUGUUGCCGGCGAGUCAAAGCCGCGAGGCCACUCGCAGGGCGGGGUUUGACUCCCCGACGCUCCACCA
This 86-nucleotide transfer RNA is filed under the name Chloroflexota bacterium. RNAcentral describes it as "Chloroflexi bacterium (mine drainage metagenome) tRNA-Ala". Lineage: Bacteria; Bacillati; Chloroflexota. The record is from RNAcentral.